RNAcentral lists this ribosomal RNA (503 nucleotides) under uncultured bacterium. RNAcentral's name for it is "bacterial SSU rRNA". It matches the Rfam family "Bacterial small subunit ribosomal RNA", at positions 31 to 507 of the family's 1533-position model. The record is from RNAcentral.
GAACGCUGGCGGCGUGCCUAAUACAUGACAAGUUGAACGACAACAAAGACACCAGAGCUUGCUCUACCGUUUUUGUUGAGUAGCGAACGGGUGAGUAACGCGUGGGUAACCUGCCUUAUAGCGGGGAUAACUAUUGGAAACGAUAGCUAAUACCGCAUAACAAUAGAGAUUGCAUAAUCUUUAUUUGAAAGUGCCAACUGGUACACUAUGAGAUGGACCCGCGUUGUAUUAGCUAGUUGGUAGUGUAAUGGACUACCAAGGCGAUGAUACAUAGCCGACCUGAGAGGGUGAUCGGCCACAUUGGGACUGAGACACGGCCCAAACUCCUACGGGAGGCAGCAGUAGGGAAUCUUCGGCAAUGGACGAAAGUCUGACCGAGCAACGCCGCGUGAGUGAAGAAGGUUUUCGAAUCGUAAAACUCUGUUGUUAGAGAAGAAUGUUGAUUAGAGUGGAAAAUUAAUCAAGUGACGGUAUCUAACCAGAAAGGGACGGCUAACUACGUG